Molecule: ribosomal RNA, 98 nt
Filed under: Macrococcoides caseolyticum
Lineage: Bacteria; Bacillati; Bacillota; Bacilli; Caryophanales; Staphylococcaceae
Description: Macrococcus caseolyticus partial 23S ribosomal RNA
Rfam family: Bacterial large subunit ribosomal RNA
Source: RNAcentral
AAGAUCCCUCAAAGAUGAUGAGGUUAAUAGGUUCGAGGUGGAAGUGCAGUAAUGUAUGGAGCUGACGAAUACUAAUCGAUCGAAGACUUAAUCAAUUU